RNAcentral lists this long non-coding RNA (1595 nucleotides) under Panax ginseng (ginseng). RNAcentral's name for it is "long non-coding RNA (PGIN_LNC011023)". Lineage: Eukaryota; Viridiplantae; Streptophyta; Magnoliopsida; Apiales; Araliaceae. The record is from RNAcentral.
AAAUUAUCUUAUGCAAAUUAUCAACUGCAAGUCUGCAACUAUACAUAUCUUAUGCAAAUUAGCAACUGCAACUAUACAUAUCAAGGCUUAUUGGAGAAACAUAUCUUAUGCAAAUUAUCAACUGCAACUUUACAUACCUCAUUAAUUAAGUUGAGUCGUGGUCCUCGUGGAAACAUUGGCAUCAUUAGUAGCAAGGCUCAGCUUGGUAAUUGCUAAAAAAUGAAAAAAAAUAAUAGAAUUCGUUAUUUUUAUAAAUUGUAUUAUUGUACAAACUAUAAAAAUCUCCCCAUUGCAGAUUCAAACAUUCAACAUACUUACAUACAUAAGAACAACCUAUAAUUAUAUAUUUAUAUAUGUUGAAAGCUCACCUAUGUAAUCAACCAAAUGAAUCAAACAAAAAUUAAAGUUCAUUCCUAAUAAAACUCCUCUCACCGAAACACAAGCUUUAGCAAACAAACAUCUAAAUAAACCAAUAAAUAUAAUACUUGUGUUGACAUAUAUAUUGAAUAGGAACACUAGGUAGGGAAUUGUUACUUAUAAAACUCUCUUACCUACCUAAAUUAAUUUUUAGAUGAUAAAUUAAUUUAAUUUUUUUUUAGUAAAACUGGAAAGGGAAUUGUUACUUAUUUUCAUAAUGAAAUUAAUAUUUCCAUAAAGAAGGCCUUCCUCACAUACAUACAUACAUGUGAACAAAUAUGGUAUAUGGAGCUAACUGUAAUCCUUCAUUCAUUUACAGUGUCAACACAAGCUUUAUACAGCAGUCAGUGAUGAAAUUAAAGUUCAUUCCUAAUAAAACUCCUCUCACCGAAACACAAGCUUUAGCAAACAAACAUCUAAAUAAACCAAUAAAUAUACACAUAAGGUAUAUAUUUAUACAGCAGUCAGUGAUGAAACAUUGAAACCUACCUACCUAGUGACUAGUGUUCCUAUUCAAUUUACAAUACUAUAUAUAUAUAUAUAUAUAUAUAUAUAUAUAAAUUCAUUACAGGACAGCUGAGCUCACCAGCAGCAGCUGCAGCACUCAUCAAAACUCAGAAGAAAAACAGUAAGAUAUUCCCAAAACUCAAAACUCAAAAGUAUAAUUUCUAAUUUCUUUUUCCUAAUUUCUUUUCAAAACCUCAAAAAGAUAGAAAUUACACAUGCACAGACACAAUUACACAAAAAUAAAUACAUACACAAAAAUGUACUCAAUACUCAUCAUUCAUGCACUAAACUGAGUUAAGGUAAAUAACAAAAUUACCUGAAUCAAAUGGAAAGCUGCCGCCGCCGGCCGGCGCCGAGAUCUGAGACUGAGAGUUCGUCGGUUCGAGAUCUGAGACUCUGACUCUGAGAAGACGACUAGACUUUAGACUUGAGAUAAGAGAGAUCACUAGAUCAGAUCUAAUCUGAGAGAGAUCUGAGACUAGCGACGCCGACUCACGUAAGAUCUGAGACUGAGAGUGAGAGUGGAGUCCUCUACUCCUCUUCGAUAAGAUCUGAUACUGAGUCACUGAGACUCUGAGAGAGAGAGAGAUCAGAGACGAGAGUAGCGUUAGCCGUUAAUAGUUAAGGACAUAAGGUUUGAGACUUGAGUUGUGAGUUGUGAUUGUGAGACG